RNAcentral lists this ribosomal RNA (450 nucleotides) under uncultured bacterium. RNAcentral's name for it is "bacterial SSU rRNA". It matches the Rfam family "Bacterial small subunit ribosomal RNA", at positions 354 to 796 of the family's 1533-position model. The record is from RNAcentral.
GUGGGGAAUUUUGGACAAUGGGCGCAAGCCUGAUCCAGCAAUGCCGCGUGCAGGAAGAAGGCCUUCGGGUUGUAAACUGCUUUUGUACGGAACGAAACGGUCCGGGUUAAUACCCUGGGCUAAUGACGGUACCGUAAGAAUAAGCACCGGCUAACUACGUGCCAGCAGCCGCGGUAAUACGUAGGGUGCAAGCGUUAAUCGGAAUUACUGGGCGUAAAGCGUGCGCAGGCGGUUUUGUAAGACAGGCGUGAAAUCCCCGGGCUCAACCUGGGAAUUGCGCUUGUGACUGCAAGGCUGGAGGGCGGCAGAGGGGGAUGGAAUUCCGCGUGUAGCAGUGAAAUGCGUAGAUAUGCGGAGGAACACCGAUGGCGAAGGCAAUCCCCUGGGCCUGCACUGACGCUCAUGCACGAAAGCGUGGGGAGCAAACAGGAUUAGAUACCCGAGUAGUCC